AAAGGUCCUACAGGGGCGACCUGAGAACACAUAUCGAAUCACUUUUUCGCACGACCUUUUAAAAGUCGAAAGCUCAAAUGGAAAAACACUACGAUGAAAUUGUGAUAUACACGUGGUCUCAUGUCGACCCUAUUGGACCUUU
This 142-nucleotide microRNA precursor is filed under the name Olea europaea subsp. europaea. Lineage: Eukaryota; Viridiplantae; Streptophyta; Magnoliopsida; Lamiales; Oleaceae. The record is from RNAcentral.